RNAcentral lists this ribosomal RNA (490 nucleotides) under uncultured bacterium. RNAcentral describes it as "partial 16S ribosomal RNA". It matches the Rfam family "Bacterial small subunit ribosomal RNA", at positions 29 to 507 of the family's 1533-position model. The record is from RNAcentral.
AGUGAACGCUGGCGGUAGGCCUAACACAUGCAAGUCGAACGGCAGCACAGGAGAGCUUGCUCUCUAGGUGGCGAGUGGCGGACGGGUGAGGAAUACAUCGGAAUCUGCCCAGUCGUGGGGGAUAACGUAGGGAAACUUACGCUAAUACCGCAUACGACCUUCGGGUGAAAGAGGGGGAUCGCAAGACCUCUCGCGAUUGGAUGAGCCGAUGUCGGAUUAGCUAGUUAGCGGGGUAAUGGCCCACCAAGGCGACGAUCCGUAGCUGGUCUGAGAGGAUGAUCAGCCACACUGGAACUGAGACACGGUCCAGACUCCUACGGGAGGCAGCAGUGGGGAAUAUUGGACAAUGGGCGCAAGCCUGAUCCAGCCAUACCGCGUGGGUGAAGAAGGCCUUCGGGUUGUAAAGCCCUUUUGUUGGGAAAGAAAUCUUUCAGGCUAAUACCCUGAGAGGAUGACGGUACCCAAAGAAUAAGCACCGGCUAACUUCGUG